RNAcentral lists this long non-coding RNA (224 nucleotides) under Prunus persica (peach). RNAcentral describes it as "long non-coding RNA (PPER_LNC004421)". The record is from RNAcentral. Lineage: Eukaryota; Viridiplantae; Streptophyta; Magnoliopsida; Rosales; Rosaceae.
CUUUUCUAAAUGUGUACAAAUGCACUGAUGCUAAAUGUAGAGACUCUAAAUCCUCCCAUACGUAUACUAUCAAGGUGCCUUUGGGGUCCAAACCUGAGACCACUGGUUUGCAAGUUAAGACAUUUUUUACUAAACUAGACCUCGUUGGCACUCAAUUGCUUUCUAAUACAGAGGUGAUUGUUAAUUUUGUUUGCCUCUAUGCUUGGUUUUUUUUAAUAAAAAAU